RNAcentral lists this ribosomal RNA (253 nucleotides) under uncultured bacterium. RNAcentral describes it as "partial 16S ribosomal RNA". It matches the Rfam family "Bacterial small subunit ribosomal RNA", at positions 524 to 776 of the family's 1533-position model. The record is from RNAcentral.
UACGUAGGGACCGAACGUUGUCCGGAAUCAUUGGGCGUAAAGGGCGCGUAGGCGGCCGCCUAAGUCAGACGUGAAAUCCCCGGGCUCAACCCGGGAACUGCGUCCGAUACUGGAAGGCUUGAAUCCGGGAGAGGGAUGCGGAAUUCCAGGUGUAGCGGUGAAAUGCGUAGAUAUCUGGAGGAACACCGGUGGCGAAGGCGGCAUCCUGGACCGGCAUUGACGCUGAGGCGCGAAAGCCAGGGGAGCAAACGGG